GACGAACGCUGGCGGCGUGCUUAACACAUGCAAGUCGAACGGAAAGGCCCUGCUUUUGUGGGGUGCUCGAGUGGCGAACGGGUGAGUAACACGUGAGUAACCUGCCCUUGACUUUGGGAUAACUUCAGGAAACUGGGGCUAAUACCGGAUAGGAGCUCCUGCUGCAUGGUGGGGGUUGGAAAGUUUCGGCGGUUGGGGAUGGACUCGCGGCUUAUCAGCUUGUUGGUGGGGUAGUGGCUUACCAAGGCUUUGACGGGUAGCCGGCCUGAGAGGGUGACCGGCCACAUUGGGACUGAGAUACGGCCCAGACUCCUACGGGAGGCAGCAGUGGGGAAUAUUGCACAAUGGGCGGAAGCCUGAUGCAGCAACGCCGCGUGCGGGAUGACGGCCUUCGGGUUGUAAACCGCUUUCGCCUGUGACGAAGCGUGAGUGAUGGUAAUGGGUAAAGAAGCACCGGCUAACCACGUG
Molecule: ribosomal RNA, 468 nt
Filed under: uncultured bacterium
Lineage: Bacteria
Description: partial 16S ribosomal RNA
Rfam family: Bacterial small subunit ribosomal RNA
Source: RNAcentral